UCGACGGGUAGCUGGUCAGAGAGGAUGAUCAGCCACACUGGGACUGUGACACGGCCCAGACUCCUACGGGAGGCAGCAGUGGGGAAUCUUGCACAAUGGGCGAAAGCCUGAUGCAGCAAUGCCGCGUGCGGGAAGAAGGCCCUAGGGUUGUAAACCGCUUUCAGCAGGGAAGAAAAUGACGGUACCUGCAGAAGAAGGUGCGGCCAACUACGUGCCAGCAGCCGCGGUGACACGUAGGCACCAAGCGUUAUCCGGAUUUAUUGGGCGUAAAGAGCUCGUAGGCGGUUCGGUAAGUCGGGUGUGAAAACUCUGGGCUCAACCCAGAGAGGCCACUCGAUACUGCUGUGACUAGAGUGCGGUAGGGGAGCGGGGAAUUCAUGGUGUAGCGGUGAAAUGCGCAGAUAUCAUGAGGAACACCAGUGGCGAAGGCGCCGCUCUGGGCCGUAACUGACGCUGAGGAGCGAAAGCAUGGGUAGCAAACAGGAUUAGAUACCCUGGUAGUCCAUGCCGUAAACGUUGGGCACUAGGUGUGGGUCUCAACCAACGAGAUCCGCGCCGUCGCUAACGCAUUAAGUGCCCCGCCUGGGGAGUACGGAA
RNAcentral lists this ribosomal RNA (597 nucleotides) under uncultured Actinomycetes bacterium. RNAcentral describes it as "bacterial SSU rRNA". It matches the Rfam family "Bacterial small subunit ribosomal RNA", at positions 276 to 887 of the family's 1533-position model. The record is from RNAcentral. Lineage: Bacteria; Bacillati; Actinomycetota; Actinomycetes.